AACGAACGCUGGCGGCGUGCUUAACACAUGCAAGUCGAACGGUGAAGCGCCUUCCUUUUUGGUAGGUGUGGGUAAGUGGCGAACGGGUGAGUAACACGUGAGUAACCUGGCCCCUUCUUCUGGAUAACCCCAUGAGAUGGUGUCUAAUACAGGAUUUUUUGCGUCUGUCUCAUGAUGGGUCUGGGUAGGUUGUUGUUUCGGUAGGGGAUGAGCUCGCGGCCUAUCAGCGUGUUGUGGGGGUGGUUGUCUACCAAGGGGGUGACGGGUAGCCGGCCUGAGAGGGUUGACGGGCAGAUGGGGAAGGAGGAACGGCCACAACUGCUACGGGAGGCAGCCGAGGGGCAUACUGGACAAUGGGGGCAAGAGUGAUGCAGCGACGCCGCGUGAGGGAUGGAGGAAUGCGGGUUGUGAAACUAUGUCGUUAGUGAAGCAGGCCUGCCUUGUCUGUGGGUGUGUUGACGGUAGCUGGAGAAGAAGCGCCGGCUAACUACGUG
Molecule: ribosomal RNA, 494 nt
Filed under: uncultured bacterium
Lineage: Bacteria
Description: partial 16S ribosomal RNA
Rfam family: Bacterial small subunit ribosomal RNA
Source: RNAcentral